GAUGAACGCUGGCGGCGUGCCUAAUACAUGCAAGUCGAGCGAACAGACGAGGAGCUUGCUCCUCUGACGUUAGCGGCGGACGGGUGAGUAACACGUGGAUAACCUACCUAUAAGACUGGGAUAACUUCGGGAAACCGGAGCUAAUACCGGAUAAUAUAUUGAACCGCAUGGUUCAAUAGUGAAAGACGGUUUUGCUGUCACUUAUAGAUGGAUCCGCGCCGCAUUAGCUAGUUGGUAAGGUAACGGCUUACCAAGGCAACGAUGCGUAGCCGACCUGAGAGGUUGAUCGGCCACACUGGAACUGAGACACGGUCCAGACUCCUACGGGAGGCAGCAGUAGGGAAUCUUCCGCAAUGGGCGAAAGCCUGACGGAGCAACGCCGCGUGAGUGAUGAAGGUCUUCGGAUCGUAAAACUCUGUUAUUAGGGAAGAACAAAUGUGUAAGUAACUAUGCACGUCUUGACGGUUCCUAAUCAGAAAGCCACGGCUAACUACGUG
Molecule: ribosomal RNA, 497 nt
Filed under: uncultured bacterium
Lineage: Bacteria
Description: partial 16S ribosomal RNA
Rfam family: Bacterial small subunit ribosomal RNA
Source: RNAcentral